AACAGGCGAGGCCCAUAUAGCGGAGGAUUUGGUGGAGUUUCCUUCCUUGGCGAUAUGGAUAUUGCCUUAGGACUGAGGACAAUUGUGUUCCCGACAGGAGCACAAUACAAUACCAUGUACCUGUAUAGAAAUGCUGAUAUACGGCACGAAUGGAUAGCAUACCUUCAAGCCGGUGCAGGCAUAGUUGCGGAUAGUGAUCCUGAAGAAGAACAUCG
This 215-nucleotide unclassified non-coding RNA is filed under the name Hevea brasiliensis (rubber tree). The record is from RNAcentral. Lineage: Eukaryota; Viridiplantae; Streptophyta; Magnoliopsida; Malpighiales; Euphorbiaceae.